AUGGCAGUGGCGAGUACCUCUUCGUGUCUCCACCUCCUCCCUCUCCUCCUCGUACUCCUACUCGCAGCCACCAGCGAGGCCACCACAUUCAAAAUCAUCAACCAAUGCUCCUACACCGUGUGGCCAGCCGCUCUGCCGGGAGGUGGCGUGAAGCUCGAUCCGGGGGAGACAUGGGCGCUGAACAUGCCCGCUGGUACCUCAACAGGGCGCAUCUGGCCGCGCACAGGCUGCUCACUCCUUGACGAAGGCGGGUCAUGCCAAACUGGUGACUGCAGCGGCUUGCUCGCAUGUACGGCCAGUGGUCGAUCGCCAAGCACGCUGGGCGAGUUCAGUCUUGGCCAAGGCCAAAGUGUUGAUGAUUUCUUCGACAUCUCGCUCAUUGAUGGCUUCAACGUGCCCAUGGACUUCCUGCCGGUGCCGAUUCAGGGAAGGUCAGGGUGCAGCAAGGGGCCGCGUUGUGCAGCCAACAUCACAUCGCAGUGCCCAAGAGAGCUGGAGGCUCCGGGAGGGUGUAGCAAUGCAUGUACUGGGAGCACGGCAAGCCGUUGCAACACAAGUUACUCGGCCUUCGUUAAGCAGAUGUGCCCAGAUGCCUACAGCAAGCCUGAUGAUACAUCCACUUACUCUUGCCCGUCGGGCACAAAGUACCAGGUCAUCUUCUGUCCC
Molecule: ribosomal RNA, 666 nt
Filed under: Triticum aestivum (bread wheat)
Lineage: Eukaryota; Viridiplantae; Streptophyta; Magnoliopsida; Poales; Poaceae
Description: partial small subunit ribosomal RNA
Source: RNAcentral